AUGAACGCUGGCGGCGUGCCUCAUCCAUGCCAGUCGCGCGAACAGACGAGGAGCUUGCUCCUCUGACGUUAGCGGCGGACGGGUGAGUAACACGUGGAUAACCUACCUAUAAGACUGGGAUAACUUCGGGAAACCGGAGCUAAUACCGGAUAAUAUAUUGAACCGCAUGGUUCAAUAGUGAAAGACGGUUUUGCUGUCACUUAUAGAUGGAUCCGCGCCGCAUUAGCUAGUUGGUAAGGUAACGGCUUACCAAGGCAACAAUGCGUAGCCGACCUGAGAGGGUGAUCGGCCACACUGGAACUGAGACACGGUCCAGACUCCUACGGGAGGCAGCAGUAGGGAAUCUUCCGCAAUGGGCGAAAGCCUGACGGAGCAACGCCGCGUGAGUGAUGAAGGUCUUCGGAUCGUAAAACUCUGUUAUUAGGGAAGAACAAAUGUGUAAGUAACUAUGCACGUCUUGACGGUACCUAAUCAGAAAGCCACGGCUAACUACGUG
Molecule: ribosomal RNA, 496 nt
Filed under: uncultured bacterium
Lineage: Bacteria
Description: partial 16S ribosomal RNA
Rfam family: Bacterial small subunit ribosomal RNA
Source: RNAcentral